GGCGAGGACCCGCGUGACGGGGCCGCCGUGAACCUGGUCAGGGCUUGACGGCAGCAGCCAUAAGCGAACGGUUUCGAGCACGUCGGAUCUCCUCGCCCAC
RNAcentral lists this signal recognition particle RNA (100 nucleotides) under bacterium. Its description in RNAcentral is "signal recognition particle sRNA small type". It matches the Rfam family "Bacterial small signal recognition particle RNA". Rfam says of the family: The signal recognition particle (SRP) is a universally conserved ribonucleoprotein involved in the co-translational targeting of proteins to membranes. Archaeal SRP consists of a 7S RNA and homologues of the eukaryotic SRP19 and SRP54 proteins. The record is from RNAcentral.